This 636-nucleotide long non-coding RNA is filed under the name Homo sapiens (human). RNAcentral's name for it is "HSALNT0365056". Lineage: Eukaryota; Metazoa; Chordata; Mammalia; Primates; Hominidae. The record is from RNAcentral.
GCUAAGGGUCAGCAGCAACACACUGCACUCCUGACUCCUGCUCUGAUACUUGCCUCACUGGAACCGUCAUCCCCUCUCAUGUGGCAAAUGCAGCUGGGUAUGUGGUCAGUGCAACCUGUACUUCUACAGCCACCAGCCUGCAGGCUGGACCCCAUUAGAGUGAGGAACGGAACCCCUGCUAGCCAGCCUCAGGUGACAAAACUGAGGCUCAGAGGCCAAUGGCCUUGUUCAAGGUCACACGCCCACUAAAUGAGAGACCCGGAGACCUGGCAUCACACGCUAACUAAGAAUACUGGAAGGAGAUAAGAUUGGGACUGAAAGACCUGGAUUGAAUGAUUUUUAUCAAGUCACUUCCCUUCCUUGGAUCUCCAUUUACUCAUCAAUAAACUAAGCAGAUUGGAUUAAAUGUUCUGUAAGGUGCCUUCUAGGUGAGGAAGAAGUUGGGAUAAGUCAUAAGGAAGCACCCCAAUGAACAUCUCCUGCCUCUAUGGUUUUUCUGACAUCCAUCAACAUCUGUCAGAAUUUGAAAAUGUGACUGCUUUUAGGCACUGUGCUUAGUGCUGGAGAUUCCGUGUUGAAGCUCACAGUCUGGGGCAGAGAUGGAAACAGACACAAAUAACUAUAAUACAAUGUGGU